GACGAACGCUGGCGGCGUGCCUAAUACAUGCAAGUAGAACGCUGAAGCGAGGAGCUUGCUCUUCUUGGAUGAGUUGCGAACGGGUGAGUAACGCGUAGGUAACCUGCCUUGUAGCGGGGGAUAACUAUUGGAAACGAUAGCUAAUACCGCAUAACAAUGGAUGACACAUGUCUUUUAUUUGAAAGGGGCAAUUGCUCCACUACAAGAUGGACCUGCGUUGUAUUAGCUAGUAGGUGAGGUAACGGCUCACCUAGGCGACGAUACAUAGCCGACCUGAGAGGGGGGUCCGCCACACUGGGACUGAGACACGGCCCAGACUCCUACGGGGGGCAGCAGGAGGGGAACUUCGGGCAUGGGGGGAACCCUGACCGGGCAACGCCGCGUGAGUGAAGAAGGGUCUCGGGUCGGAAAGCUCUGUUGUAAGUCAAGAACGAGUGUGAGAGUGGAAAGUUCACACUGUGACGGUAGCUAACCAGAAAGGGACGGCUAACUACGUG
RNAcentral lists this ribosomal RNA (497 nucleotides) under uncultured bacterium. RNAcentral describes it as "partial 16S ribosomal RNA". It matches the Rfam family "Bacterial small subunit ribosomal RNA", at positions 28 to 507 of the family's 1533-position model. The record is from RNAcentral.